Molecule: unclassified non-coding RNA, 257 nt
Filed under: Hevea brasiliensis (rubber tree)
Lineage: Eukaryota; Viridiplantae; Streptophyta; Magnoliopsida; Malpighiales; Euphorbiaceae
Source: RNAcentral
AUCACUCCGAUUUAGGGUUUUGGUGAAUAUGUCAGGUGCGGAGAAAUCAGGGAGCUAUUGGGGGGGGGAGGUGGAGGCAAAAGCGAGCUGCGAUGAGAUCGAGAGAAGAAGAGGGCAAACGUUGUGAGCGCCGUGAAUUGAGGUUUUCAAAACCAUUAAGACGUUUGAACCGUGAAGCAGAGGAUCACGGUUUAAGGUUGAACCGGAGUUCAGCCGACGGUUGGAGUUUAAUUGAAAUUAAAAUUAAUAUUAAAAUA